RNAcentral lists this unclassified non-coding RNA (958 nucleotides) under Hevea brasiliensis (rubber tree). Lineage: Eukaryota; Viridiplantae; Streptophyta; Magnoliopsida; Malpighiales; Euphorbiaceae. The record is from RNAcentral.
CUUUUGAGUUUCAUUUGGAUAAUUUGAGCAUAUUUGAACAAAUCUGGUAAAUUAUAGAGUAUAUGUAAACCAUAAACAUCAAUGAAAGACAAAUUUGUGACGAUUUCACAAAGUUCAUGGAAAUCCAAACUCUACAACGAAUUUAAAAGAGGACUACAUGCAUGUGUAAACACCUCAACGAACUCAUGUGGACACUCCUCAGCCCGAGGACAAUCUCUCAAAUACACGUGUUGAUGUUGUUGACCCACUUUUCUUUUCCUCGUUGAUUCCUCUCAAUGAAAUUUUCUAUGUUGCACUAACAAAUUUGGACCUUCAUCGAAAGUUUGAUUCAAGAACUGAACAAGGGCUCUGGAUCUACAUUUCUUCUAAUCCAAUUGUCUUCUGCCCAUUUGCAGCCAUUAGUAUCCACCACAUGUAAACUGUAUGCAUGUCGUGACUUUGAAGACUGGUUCUCAAAACUCUGGUGAAUAAGAUCUCCGUGAAUGACUACCAAAGAUCCAGCUUUUACUUCAAGUGAAACGAAAUCUUCCUGGUUAUAGCAUGGAGAUGGCUUAUCAAAAUGAACCCCACUUUCAUCUCUAAGGAAUCUCCUCACAAGGCCAUUUUUGUGGGACCCUGGUAUAGCCCAUAGACAGCCAUUUACAAUUGUUGCUUCCUCUAAAGCUAGCCACAAGCCAGUGCAUGUUGUUGGUUCAGUGUACAGAAAAGAGUUAUCUUGGUGCGGCACCACUUCACCCCCAAUACCGGGUUGCUUAAAUAUGUACAUUGAUUGAAUGACUACUGGCCUCUGGUAACCCAAGGACCGCAACAUGCUUGAGACUUUGCCUGAGCUAGAGAACUUAUUAAAUACAGCAUCUUUUUCAUGAAGAGCGUGCCCAACUUUAUUUAUUGAGAGUUGCUUUGGCUGCUUUAGGUUUCUAUCUUCAUCAAAUGCUUUCUCUUCCCAGAAGAAUGAAAU